GGCCUGUUGGUCUAGUGGUAUGAUUCGCGCUUCGGGUGCGUGAGGUCCCGGGUUCGACUCCCGGACAGGCCC
Molecule: transfer RNA, 72 nt
Filed under: Hydra vulgaris (swiftwater hydra)
Lineage: Eukaryota; Metazoa; Cnidaria; Hydrozoa; Anthoathecata; Hydridae
Description: transfer RNA proline (anticodon CGG)
Rfam family: tRNA
About the family: Transfer RNA (tRNA) molecules are approximately 80 nucleotides in length. Their secondary structure includes four short double-helical elements and three loops (D, anti-codon, and T loops).
Source: Rfam by way of RNAcentral